This is a non-coding RNA of Spinacia oleracea (spinach), 72 nucleotides long. Lineage: Eukaryota; Viridiplantae; Streptophyta; Magnoliopsida; Caryophyllales; Amaranthaceae. The record is from Rfam.
AGCCUACUAGCUCAAUUGGUAGAGCAUUGUGCAAAAGCACAAAAGCUGUGGGUUCGAAUCCCACGUAGGUUC